GCGGAUGUGGCGAAAUUGGCAGACGCGCUGGAUUUAGGUUCCAGUUCCUGUAAUGGGAGUGUAGGUUCAAGUCCUAUCAUCCGCACCA
This 88-nucleotide transfer RNA is filed under the name Candidatus Sulfopaludibacter sp. SbA3. Its description in RNAcentral is "tRNA-Leu". It matches the Rfam family "tRNA". Rfam says of the family: Transfer RNA (tRNA) molecules are approximately 80 nucleotides in length. The record is from RNAcentral. Lineage: Bacteria; Pseudomonadati; Acidobacteriota; Terriglobia; Bryobacterales; Solibacteraceae. RNAcentral also lists the same sequence under 1 other name.